RNAcentral lists this transfer RNA (61 nucleotides) under Alectorobius spheniscus. RNAcentral's name for it is "tRNA-Ala". Lineage: Eukaryota; Metazoa; Arthropoda; Arachnida; Ixodida; Argasidae. The record is from RNAcentral.
AGAAUAGUAUUUUAAUAAAAAAAAACUAAUCUGCAAUUAGAAAAUGCUUAAUGCCUAUUCU